AGAGUUUGAUCAUGGCUCAGAAUCAACGCUGGCGGCGCGCUUAACACAUGCAAGUCGCACGAGAAAGCAGGAGCAAUCUUGCGAGUAAAGUGGCGUACGGGUGAGUAACACGUGGAUCAUCUACCUUCUAGUGGGGAAUACCUCUGGGAAACCGGAGAUAAUUCCGCAUAAGCUCGUGAGAGGAAAGCCGAAAGGCGCUGGAAGAGGAGUCCGCGGCUGAUUAGCUAGAUGGCGGGGUAACGGCCCACCAUGGCGAAGAUCGGUAGCCGGCCUGAGAGGGCACACGGCCACACUGGCACUGAAACACGGGCCAGACUCCUACGGGAGGCAGCAGUGGGGAAUCUUGCACAAUGGAGGCAACUCUGAUGCAGCGACGCCGCGUGAGCGAUGAAGCCCUUCGGGGUGUAAAGCUCUUUCGACGGGAAAGAUUAUGACGGUACCCGGAGAAGAAGCUGCGGCUAACUACGUGCCAGCAGCCGCGGUAAUACGUAGGCAGCGAGCGUUGUUCGGAAUUACUGGGCGUAAAGAGUGUGUAGGCGGUGUUCCAAGUCUGGUGUGAAAUCUCCCGGCUUAACUGGGAGGGUGCGCCGGAAACUGGAAUGCUCGAGGGUGGGAGAGGUAAGCGGAAUUCCUGGUGUAGCGGUGAAAUGCGUAGAUAUCAGGAGGAACAUCUGUGGUGUAGACAGCUUACUGGACCACUUCUGACGCUGAGACACGAAAGCGUGGGUAGCAAACAGGAUUAGAUACCCUCGUAGUCC
Molecule: ribosomal RNA, 758 nt
Filed under: uncultured bacterium
Lineage: Bacteria
Description: bacterial SSU rRNA
Rfam family: Bacterial small subunit ribosomal RNA
Source: RNAcentral